Molecule: non-coding RNA, 179 nt
Organism: Ceratotherium simum simum (southern white rhinoceros)
Lineage: Eukaryota; Metazoa; Chordata; Mammalia; Perissodactyla; Rhinocerotidae
Source: RefSeq, a predicted model, not a curated record
AAGAGUGUGAAAGACAUGUACUCACUUCUCAAUAUUCCUACUUUAAAUUUUGAUAUCCAAAACAAAUGUUUAUGAUUUCAGCUGGCUAACCUUAAUAGGAUUUCCUCCAAAACUGUCCUUGCAAUACAUAUAGAAUGAAACAGGAAUUCAACUGAGGAGCUCCGUGUUCAGUUCCCCGG